AGCCAGACUCCUACGGGAGGCAGCAGUGGGGAAUAUUGCACAAUGGGGGAAACCCUGAUGCAGCGACGCCGCGUGAGUGAAGAAGUAUUUCGGUAUGUAAAGCUCUAUCAGCAGGGAAGAAAAUGACGGUACCUGACUAAGAAGCCCCGGCUAACUACGUGCCAGCAGCCGCGGUAAUACGUAGGGGGCAAGCGUUAUCCGGAUUUACUGGGUGUAAAGGGAGCGUAGACGGCAUGGCAAGUCAGAUGUGAAAGCCCGGGGCUCAACCCCGGGACUGCAUUUGAAACUGUCAGGCUGGAGUGCAGGAGAGGUAAGUGGAAUUCCUAGUGUAGCGGUGAAAUGCGUAGAUAUUAGGAGGAACACCAGUGGCGAAGGCGGCUUACUGGACUGUAACUGACGUUGAGGCUCGAAAGCGUGGGGAGCAAACAGGAUUAGAUACCCUGGUA
This 446-nucleotide ribosomal RNA is filed under the name uncultured bacterium. RNAcentral describes it as "bacterial SSU rRNA". It matches the Rfam family "Bacterial small subunit ribosomal RNA", at positions 329 to 792 of the family's 1533-position model. The record is from RNAcentral.